GGUAGUCCACGCCGUAAACGAUGUCAACUAGCCGUUGGAAUCCUUGAGAUUUUAGUGGCGCAGCUAACGCAUUAAGUUGACCGCCUGGGGAGUACGGCCGCAAGGUUAAAACUCAAAUGAAUUGACGGGGGCCCGCACAAGCGGUGGAGCAUGUGGUUUAAUUCGAUGCAACGCGAAGAACCUUACCUACUCUUGACAUCCAGAGAACUUAGCAGAGAUGCUUUGGUGCCUUCGGGAACUCUGAGACAGGUGCUGCAUGGCUGUCGUCAGCUCGUGUUGUGAAAUGUUGGGUUAAGUCCCGCAACGAGCGCAACCCUUAUCCUUUGUUGCCAGCGGUUCGGCCGGGAACUCAAAGGAGACUGCCAGUGAUAAACUGGAGGAAGGUGGGGAUGACGUCAAGUCAUCAUGGCCCUUACGAGUAGGGCUACACACGUGCUACAAUGGCGCAUACAAAGAGAAGCGACCUCGCGAGAGCAAGCGGACCUCAUAAAGUGCGUCGUAGUCCGGAUUGGAGUCUGCAACUCGACUCCAUGAAGUCGGAAUCGCUAGUAAUCGUAGAUCAGAAUGCUACGGUGAAUACGUUCCCGGGCCUUGUACACACCGCCCGUCACACCAUGGGAGUGGGUUGCAAAAGAAGUAGGUAGCUUAACCUUCGGGAGGGCGCUUACCACUUUGUGAUUCAUGACUGGGGUGAAGUCGUAACAAGGUAACC
Molecule: ribosomal RNA, 712 nt
Filed under: uncultured bacterium
Lineage: Bacteria
Description: bacterial SSU rRNA
Rfam family: Bacterial small subunit ribosomal RNA
Source: RNAcentral